UACGGAGGGUGCAAGCGUUAUCCGGGUUUACUGGGUUUAAAGGGUGCGUAGGCGGGCCUUUAAGUCAGUGGUGAAAGCUCCGAGCUUAACUCGGAAACUGCCAUUGAUACUAUUGGUCUUGAAUUCGGUCGAGGUUGGCGGAAUGUGUCGUGUAGCGGUGAAAUGCUUAGAUAUGACACAGAACACCGAUUGCGAAGGCAGCUAGCUAGACCGACAUUGACGCUGAGGCACGAAAGCGUGGGGAUCAAACAGG
This 253-nucleotide ribosomal RNA is filed under the name uncultured bacterium. Its description in RNAcentral is "partial 16S ribosomal RNA". It matches the Rfam family "Bacterial small subunit ribosomal RNA", at positions 524 to 776 of the family's 1533-position model. The record is from RNAcentral.